Ictalurus punctatus (channel catfish) is the source of this 478-nucleotide long non-coding RNA. RefSeq lists it as uncharacterized. The record is from RefSeq and is a predicted model, not a curated record. The transcript is spliced from 5 exons. Lineage: Eukaryota; Metazoa; Chordata; Actinopteri; Siluriformes; Ictaluridae.
AUUUCUGCCAGACAGACACAAACUGAGACUUGAAAAUGUGGGAACAGGCUGUUGAGGAGUUGAAUGGUGCAGUUGAAGAUAAGGAGGAAGCUCUCAAAGUAGAUGCUGCUGCUGAAGUUAAGUUGGCCUACUGUCCACCUGGAUGGCUUAAAUAUGAAUCACUCUCCUUUCAACAUGAGAUCAAUUCUGUCCUGGCUCAAUGCUGAGGCCCAAGCAAAUGCUAAAGCGUCUUCUGCUCAGUGUUCCUGGGAUAAGCUCUGGAUCCACCAUGACCCUGACAAGGAUAAAAUGGUUACUGAAGAUGAAUGAAUGAAAAAUGCCAAAUGGGGCAUGUGUGGUGCAGCUCGAUUGACCCGCAAUCAGUGUGUAACGCCUAACUGUACUGCGCUUGCAACCAAUCACUGAUCACCAUUGUUCCCCAUGACCAGUUACUGAUUACCACUGUUUUCCAAUGACCAAUCACUGAUCACAACUGUCA